This 241-nucleotide unclassified non-coding RNA is filed under the name Hevea brasiliensis (rubber tree). The record is from RNAcentral. Lineage: Eukaryota; Viridiplantae; Streptophyta; Magnoliopsida; Malpighiales; Euphorbiaceae.
AAUGGACAAUAUACAGACUUUGUCGAUUCAAAUUUACAAAGCUAUGAUAGAAGUGAAAUAGAACGGAUGAUUUUUUGUGCUGCGGCUUGUGUUUAUAAGUCUUUUGAGUCUCGCCCACCAAUGAAAGAGAUAGUUCGAGUUCUUGAAGGAUAUAUGUGUAUAGAAGAAACAUGGAAUGAGAAGAAUGACAACAUAUUCCUGAAAGAUAAUCCUGAGUCUAGUGGAUCUAAUAAUGUUGAGC